UCUCCAAAGCCUGUUUCUGCGUCUCCGUCUUCUGCCUGUGACGUUUUUUAACUCUUUUGGCAGCUGGUCCCUCAGUGCUGAUUCCAGGACCAGGUACCUCAUUUUUCUGUGUAAUAACAUCGUCAACAAUAUUGUUUGUUUGAUUUUCAGACAAAGGGGCGGCAGAUUGAUUGGCUAGAAUAUCCUGAAUAUCCGUGUUGACCUCCAAGGGAGUUGUACCUUCGACGGAGGUACCAAUCUCCAAAGCCUGUUUCUGCGUCUCCGUCUUCUGCCUGUGACGUUUUUUAACUCUUUUGGCAGCUGGUCCCUCAGUGCUGAUUCCAGGACCAGGUACCUCAUUUUUCUGUGUAAUAACAUCGUCAACAAUAUUGUUUGUUUGAUUUUCAGACAAAGGGGCGGCAGAUUGAUUGGCUAGAAUAUCCUGAAUAUCCGUGUUGACCUCCAAGGGAGUUGUACCUUCAACGGAGGUACCAAUCUCCAAAGCCUGUUCCCGCAUCUUCCGCCUGUGACGUUUUUUAACUCUUUUGGCAGCUGGUCCCUCAGUGCUGAUUCCAGGAGCAGGUAUCUCAUUUUUCUGUGUAAUAACAUUGUCAACAAUAUUGUCUGUUUGAUUUUCAGACAAAGGGGCGGCAGAUUGAGUGGCUAGAAUAUCCUGAGUAUCCAUGUUGACCUCCAAGGGAGUUGUAUCUACCUCCAAGGGAGUUGUACCUUCAACCGAGGUACCAAUCUUCAAAGCCUGUUUCUGCGACUUCGUCUUCCGCCUGCGACGUUUGUCAACUCUUUUGGCAGCUGGUCCCUCAGUGCUGAUUCCAGGAUCAGGUACCUCAUUUUUCUGUGUAGUAACAUUGUCAACAAUAUUGUCUGCUUGAUUUUCAGACACAGGGGGGGCAGAUUGAUUCGGUAGAAUAUCCUGAAUAU
RNAcentral lists this long non-coding RNA (918 nucleotides) under Erythranthe guttata (spotted monkey flower). Its description in RNAcentral is "long non-coding RNA (EGUT_LNC002623)". The record is from RNAcentral. Lineage: Eukaryota; Viridiplantae; Streptophyta; Magnoliopsida; Lamiales; Phrymaceae.